Long non-coding RNA from Polypterus senegalus (gray bichir), 4271 nucleotides. RefSeq lists it as uncharacterized. Lineage: Eukaryota; Metazoa; Chordata; Cladistia; Polypteriformes; Polypteridae. The transcript has 4 exons. The record is from RefSeq and is a predicted model, not a curated record.
ACCCAAUCCCGGUUAGAGAUGAAAUUUGACUGGUCUUCCCUGUCAUUUUAAAGCAACCUCCUUAACAUCUUACUUAUGGUUGAAGAAUGGUGGCUGUCCCGAUCUGUGAUUUUGGAAAUCUGGCCACCCUGAACAUUACUGAAUACCUCCACUGACAGAUCGUUUCGACUUUCAUGCUCCGUAGGUGAAGUGGCAAUCCCUAUUACAGCCGAUGCUUACGGCUCGCGAGGAGUAGAUGAAAGAGUGGACUGCAAGGCCAUUUCCAGUUUCGAAUGAUCUUCUAGAAUUGGCAAGCUAUCGUGACCUGCAUCACUUGUACAUUCACUCCCAUUUUCGCUGCAGUGGAGCAGAGUGCUGGGAAGUCUGUGCUUUCGCCUGCCUGUUCCAGAAGGAGCUUGGCAAGUGGCAGGUCUUGAUUGACUUUUAAUUCCUACAAGCGUCUCAUGGUUCCCCUGUAGACCUUUCUUAUUUGGAAUAGCCUUCCCAUAUACAAUCUCUGCAAUCUGCAUCUUUCUGCAAAUUUGAUUCCACCUCCUAGUGCUGAAAGCCAGCCACUAAAUGUCUUUUCUUAGUGAGCCAAGUGACUUGCCAACACUUCCACAGAUCUUUGUCAAAGAUUCUGCAGCUCUGCUUCUGUCUUGCUAGCCUGGUGUCUGCUUGGGCAAAAGCAAGAGCUGGUACUAUCGGAAUAAUGCUUGACAACACUGCAAGGAUUUAAGGGGGGAAAAAAUCAACUAUAAUGAAGUUCAUGAUGCAGCUAUUGUAAAGCGGCCCUGAAGUAGGUACCCAUAGCACAUCACCAUCUGCCAGAAGUCUCCCGAGGGAAGGAAUAAGUUGUAAGAAGAAAAAAAAAAAAAAAGUAACACCCUUCAAACUUUAAAAUACUGCUGGGAAUUCUAUUUUUUCUCAACAAAGAUUUAUACAUAUUUAUACAAGCUGAAAUGCAGAUAUGGAAAAAAAAAUCUUGGAAUUGCAGAGGUAAACUGUAUGUAAAUGCCACAAAGUAAUAGACUUGUAGUGCAAAUCACACCAUUUUAUCUUUAAUUUUGCUUUCGUUCCCCCCCCUCCCCCCCUCUCUCCUCUGGCUUAAAGGUGCAUCAGAGAUAUGCAUUUAAGCAUAUUCAGAACACGGGGCGUGAAAUUAAAUGUGUGGCAGAGUGAGAAAAAUAUACAGGCGCUGGAGAUGCCUUAAAAAUAGUCAUUUAUGCAGAUCGAGAGGAGUGAAAUCAUUUGCAAUGGGGUGACCCUCUCUCCAAGCAUUUUUUCCCUCACUGUUCUUUGCUAAUCUCCCCCUGUAUCUUCAUUUUUCAUUGAACUCGCCAGUUUGCUGCUAAGCGGCCUUGUAGAUAAGGCGAAGUGCUAAAAGGAGACGAAAGAAGGAGCUCAGUGGGCCCGUUUCUAUUGCACUUUCACCCAAGGCAAUGGGCAGAAUUUAACGGAUUCCUUCCAACAUAUGUUUUUGCCAGAUAAGUAAACAGUGUGUGUCGGAAAUGAAAAAAAGCAUUUGCAAUUUAAUGACAUUACAGCUCCCAGCUUAGCCCAGCGUGCUGCGAGGCGAAAAGCAGAGAAAAGGGAAAGCGGAAGAAUGGAGCUGAGGUGUCAGUAGUGUUUUUUUUUUCUUUUCUCUAAGCAGCACUCCUACAUUCUCUUAUUCUUUUUAUCCUGCUUUUUCUGUUCCAUCUUGCCAUCCUUCCUUGAAAUACCCUUUUCUGGGAUAUUUUUGUUUUUUGGGUAUUUUGAUAAUUAUUAUUAUCAUAAUUAUUGACUCUCCUCAGUCUCAAUGUCCAUUUCUUUCUGCAUGACGUUUUGUCAGACGCUGCGGGUGUCUUUCUAAAUUUGUUUUCAGUUUCACUUUGCCGCUUAUCAGGAUGUGUGGAAGCAAGACAAAUAAAAAAAAAGAACCCAUUCAAGGCAAAAAUAAAAUCAAAUUAAGUUUUGCUGCUAAUAAAUGGCUUUUGGCCCCUACUUGAAAAAUGAAGCGGUGUGUUUCAGCUUGUAAUGUGUAAAUAAUUUGUCGUCUUUCUGAGCUCAGGCGACUCCAUUGUCACCUUGGGUUAAUUGUUUAUAAAAAGUAGAUUAGAACAUUAGUCUGAUUAUAGACCUUGACCAUUAACGAAUGUAAUGACAAGUUGAGGGUCCAUGGUAUAUCAUGUUCUCACUGCCAGGGCACAUUUUACAAGAUUUAGCAUUGAAUCAUGUUUGUUUGAAGACAGAUCAGAUAACUUCAUUAUUUUUGCAAGAAACAAUUAUUGUAUUCAGUUUUGCCGCCAACUAGUAACAAAAGACUCAAUAAUAUAAUAAAUAAUGAUCAAUUAUACAAGGAAUAAGGAACAUCGUCCUUUAUUUGUUUAAAUUUAUACCACUAAAACAUUCCUCCAGGUACAGUAUCAAAGUUAACAAGGUAAUUGUUAAGGCCAUGUGGAGGUUAUUUGCUAUGGGUUGUGCAGGAAUUGGAUUGAGAUUUUGUUUAAUAUUUAAAUACAGUAUCCCUUUACUGAGGCUGCCCUAUUCAAAGUUAGUUUCUACCUUGUGCCCUAAAUCUCUAAGAAAAGUGUGCAGGGCCAUGUAUUGGUAAAAGCAGGCACAGAAAAUACAUGGAUGGAUGAAUAUCUCUGAGAAAGUUGGAGAACUGUGAUUAGGGAUUUCCACUCGACUUUAAAAUUGGAGCAUGUUACACACGAGUGUAGAUGAGCGGUUAAUUUACAUAUACCUGUGUGCAUUACAUUCAAAUAUUUUAGUUAGUUAUUUGAUUAACUAUACUUGAGUUUUUGUCAGAGUUUUUUUCUUCAAGAUACAGUAAUGGGAGCAUUAAACACGAGUAAGGAGUACAUCACGUAACCUCAUUUAUUCUAUUAAUGAAAAUGAAGUUCUGUAUUUUAAUGCUUUCAUGAGAGUAAAAUGGUAAAGCUUUGCAUACAAGUAAUAGUUUGACUUAUUCGAUACAUGGGGCAGUACGAGUGCUAUCAACUAAAUGGAUGCAUAUUGUUCCACUUGUUAAUAAAAAUGUCACAUUAUGCAAUUAUAUACAGAAUACUAGGUGUUGGUUUUAUAUAAAAUGCUGAGUUGCCAAAUGGUUAUCCCAUUUGAUAGCCGCCAAGCUAAUGGUGCAUUAACCUCAAAAUAAAGACAGUUCUCAGCCGCUGUGCGCCUUGUGCUCUGUCUGCUCUUCAAAUGAUGACAGUGGUUGGUUCUGGAGGCUUUUAAAGUUGUAGAAGAGGAAGGGGAAGAGCAAGAGGCAGAUUUGCCUUAAUUUUGCAAUAUUUGCAAGUUAGAGAAAAAGAAUUAGAAAGUGUGUAAAUAAGAUGCCUAACUACUAGAUUAAAUCUUGUGAAUUUGGAGUUGUCUGUUUUGUCUUAUUCAUAUUAUUAUUAAUACCCAAUAAAAUAACAUCUGUUCUUUACAAGUAAAGGAUAAGUAAUGUUUUUCUUAGUCCAGCAAUGGUCUUGUGCUGUUUACUGCCUUGUGCCCAGUGCUGGCAGAAUUGGCACCAGACUAUAAAUCUUUCAUUCAUUCAUUUUCCACUACAACAUUCUUAGCACAGAGGCCCACAUGUCCUUUUCCCCAUCCACACUUGCCAAUUGGAUCCCAUGGAGAUCCCAAGCCAUCUGAAAGGUACAAUUCUUCCAGAAAGUCCUGGGUCUUCCCUGGGGUCUCCUCACAGCUGGUCAUGCCCAUACAACCUCCAGAGGGAAGUGCCCAGGAGGCAUCUGUAUCAAGUGCCCAAACCACCUCAAUUGGCUCCUCUUGAUGCGGAGGGUCAGAGGCAAUACUCCGAGCCUCUCCAGGGUGUCUGGUCUUCUCACCCUAUCACUAAAGGAGAGCCCAGCCACCCUGCAGAGAAAGCUCAUUUCCAGGGGAGCCAUUCUGGGUUAAGGUGAUUCAAACCUGCUCAGGGUUGCAGGGGCUCUGGGAAUCUUACUGCAGAUAUCAACAGCAAUCACAGAGAGAACUCUCGGCAGGUACCGGAUGAAGUGGCUGAGAGGGCAUUGUUGGUGACUCGUUCCUGCUGAAUAGACCUGAAAAGAGAGCAAGCAAGACGAGAGAGAGAGAGAGAGACACUGGUAAAAGAAAACAUGAGAGAACUGAGUCUGUGUUUUAACUGCUGGAUUUAACUGAUUAUUGGAUCUUGAUGUUUCUUUUAAUGCAAUAUUUUAAAGAUUUAUUUAUUGUUGUUGUUUAUUGAGAACUUUUAACUGCACUGCACAAUAACAUUGUUGCUUUCUAGUGCUUAAUAAACAUGCCAUGUUUUCACUUUGCACUGUAACUUACUG